UUAGGGGUGUGGGGUGGGAGAAGCAUGUGUGGUAUUAAACCCUAAACUGCUCCCUGUAUACAGGGUUGUUACAAAAACUGAGGUGGUUUUCCGGUGUUUUCCCUCGUGUUAAAUGAGAAACACCGAUGCCCUGCACGCAUGAGUCUCCCACUGUUGAUAAAGUUUACCCACGAGUUGGCUUGUAGGGAGUGCUGCCGGCAUAGACCAAUGCUCCGCGGUUCACUGAUCAUUAGAUCAUCCUCGCCUUCUCAAGCACCUCUUUUUUU
This 266-nucleotide non-coding RNA is filed under the name Macadamia integrifolia. Lineage: Eukaryota; Viridiplantae; Streptophyta; Magnoliopsida; Proteales; Proteaceae. The record is from RNAcentral.